Labrus bergylta (ballan wrasse) is the source of this 543-nucleotide non-coding RNA. NCBI's taxonomy places the organism in Eukaryota, Metazoa, Chordata, Actinopteri, Labriformes, Labridae. The record is from RefSeq and is a predicted model, not a curated record.
CUGGACCCAGCUGUCAGUCUGCAAUGAGCGACAUGUCAGCUGGGCGCUUAAUUGAUUUUAAAGCACAACCAGCUUCUCUUCCACAUGGACCAAACCAAGAGAGCUCCAACGUUUCCAGUAACCAGGAUGUCCAGCAGCUCAACAAAGUGUUUCCGGUCUGUACAUGUGCAACAGUUGUUUUCACAUCUGAUCUGUUCACAACAAUUACCAUGCUGCACUUUCAGACCAAUGAAAUUCACCAUGUAUCAAACAUGGAUCUGAUAUUUGGUUUUAAGAUUUAGUUUGAUUUAAUUAUCUGUUCCAGGUUCUCCGGCAGGACAUCAUCAACUUUGUGGAAGAGGAGCUCAAUAAGUUUCAGGAGGAUCUGCGUCACCCAGAAAUGUUUGAGAGUCCGAGGGGUGUCGAGGAUGAAGGGAUCAACAGAGAGGCAUUUCGAGAGAUCACAGUGGACUUCCUGAGGAGAAUGAAUGAGGAUGUGCUGGCCGACCUGCUGCAGAGGAGUAGCCCUUCUUCAGUUUGCAAACAGAAACUCAAAUCUAACCU